UGGGGAAUUUUGGACAAUGGGCGAAAGCCUGAUCCAGCAAUGCCGCGUGUGUGAAGAAGGCCUUCGGGUUGUAAAGCACUUUUGUCCGGAAAGAAAUCCUUGGCUCUAAUACAGUCGGGGGAUGACGGUACCGGAAGAAUAAGCACCGGCUAACUACGUGCCAGCAGCCGCGGUAAUACGUAGGGUGCAAGCGUUAAUCGGAAUUACUGGGCGUAAAGCGUGCGCAGGCGGUUUGCUAAGACCGAUGUGAAAUCCCCGGGCUCAACCUGGGAACUGCAUUGGUGACUGGCAGGCUAGAGUAUGGCAGAGGGGGGUAGAAUUCCACGUGUAGCAGUGAAAUGCGUAGAGAUGUGGAGGAAUACCGAUGGCGAAGGCAGCCCCCUGGGCCAAUACUGACGCUCAUGCACGAAAGCGUGGGGAGCAAACAGGAUUAGAUACCCUGGUAGUCCACGCCCUAAACGAUGUCACUAGUUGUUGGGGAUUCAUUUCUUAGUAACGUAGCUAACGCGUGAAGUUGACCGCCUGGGGAGUACGGUCGCAAGAUUAAAACUC
Molecule: ribosomal RNA, 552 nt
Filed under: uncultured bacterium
Lineage: Bacteria
Description: partial 16S ribosomal RNA
Rfam family: Bacterial small subunit ribosomal RNA
Source: RNAcentral